RNAcentral lists this ribosomal RNA (317 nucleotides) under Klebsiella michiganensis. RNAcentral's name for it is "bacterial SSU rRNA". It matches the Rfam family "Bacterial small subunit ribosomal RNA", at positions 1217 to 1533 of the family's 1533-position model. The record is from RNAcentral. Lineage: Bacteria; Pseudomonadati; Pseudomonadota; Gammaproteobacteria; Enterobacterales; Enterobacteriaceae.
CACACGUGCUACAAUGGCAUAUACAAAGAGAAGCGACCUCGCGAGAGCAAGCGGACCUCAUAAAGUAUGUCGUAGUCCGGAUUGGAGUCUGCAACUCGACUCCAUGAAGUCGGAAUCGCUAGUAAUCGUGGAUCAGAAUGCCACGGUGAAUACGUUCCCGGGCCUUGUACACACCGCCCGUCACACCAUGGGAGUGGGUUGCAAAAGAAGUAGGUAGCUUAACCUUCGGGAGGGCGCUUACCACUUUGUGAUUCAUGACUGGGGUGAAGUCGUAACAAGGUAACCGUAGGGGAACCUGCGGUUGGAUCACCUCCUUA